AAUUAGAAAGCGAAUAGUUGCGUUUAGUUUCGGCCUAAAUAUUGGUAAAGGUUACCUCUAAUUU
This 64-nucleotide transfer RNA is filed under the name Procambarus dupratzi. RNAcentral describes it as "tRNA-Arg". Lineage: Eukaryota; Metazoa; Arthropoda; Malacostraca; Decapoda; Cambaridae. The record is from RNAcentral.